GUCCGCACCGUAAACGAUGAUUACUCGUUGUUGGCAAUAUGACCGUCAGCGACCAAGCGAAAGCGAUAAGUAAUCCACCUGGGGAGUACGCCGGCAACGGUGAAACUCAAAGGAAUUGACGGGGGCCCGCACAAGCGGAGGAGCAUGUGGUUUAAUUCGAUGAUACGCGAGGAACCUUACCUGGGCUUGAAAGUUAGUGACCGGUCCUGAAAGGGAUCUUCCAGCAAUGGCGCGAAACUAGGUGCUGCAUGGCUGUCGU
Molecule: ribosomal RNA, 259 nt
Filed under: uncultured bacterium
Lineage: Bacteria
Description: partial 16S ribosomal RNA
Rfam family: Bacterial small subunit ribosomal RNA
Source: RNAcentral